UGCAUUUUUCCUGGAUGUGUGGAUCUGACAUCAGCCACGUUCGUAUUGCCACGCUCAGCUGAGACACCAAGGUGCAGGAUUUCAGCUGGCAUGAAUCCAACCAGAUCAGCACUGCAGAGCCAGCUGAGCUUAAUUGAACUGUGCUGGAAAUCUAAAAGUGAUGAAGCUGCCAGGGAAACAACACAGGUUCCUGCAAUAGAGAAGACCCAGUGACAGGAAGAGCCUCAAAAUGUUUUGUUCUGCUCAAUUGCCAAGAACAGAACAAAGCCACGCAGUUGAGCAGGAGAUCUGGUUUGCACAAUCGUACCUAUGGAGAAGCACUCAGAGGUUGGGAGAUGGUUAUCACCAACCACGUGUCAACAUCUUCAAAACUCAUCUUGAUGAACUCCAUAAUGAAGGAGGUUAUCAUCCAGGAGUUAUACCCAGCUUGUUUUUAAACCUGCAAAGGGAAGAUACUGUGAACAAAGCAGUGAUGGCUCUUAGGUUCCUCCCCAGCCACCAGGAGAGGAGUGGGGCUGUUUUGGAUCACCUGAGCACAGAUAAUGGACAGAGCUCUUCACCUCACAUCUGUCACUGAGGUCUACAUGUGGUUGCUAAGCCUCCCUUAUCACAUGGAAGGGUGGAGACAGGGCAGCAGUUUUCUCUGGAAAAGAGACAGAUGAUCAUGCCAAGUUGUGGAGAAGUACUGGCAAUGGCUUCGCUGGGGAGAGAUUGAGACACCCUUUCGACAGGAGCCAACACCCAUUUUGAGAUGAAAAAUGUCCAUCC
This 768-nucleotide long non-coding RNA is filed under the name Serinus canaria (Common canary). RNAcentral's name for it is "lncRNA (ENSSCAG00000006543.1)". Lineage: Eukaryota; Metazoa; Chordata; Aves; Passeriformes; Fringillidae. The record is from RNAcentral.